This 456-nucleotide ribosomal RNA is filed under the name Macrobrachium trompii. Its description in RNAcentral is "eukaryotic LSU rRNA". It matches the Rfam family "Eukaryotic large subunit ribosomal RNA", at positions 646 to 942 of the family's 3401-position model. The record is from RNAcentral. Lineage: Eukaryota; Metazoa; Arthropoda; Malacostraca; Decapoda; Palaemonidae.
GACCCGUCUUGAAGCACGGACCAAGGAGUCCAACAUGUGCGCGAGUCUAAGGGUUGUCUAAACCUGGAGGCGAAAUGAAAGUGAGUCCCUUUUGGGGCAGGCCGAUCCCCUGCCGCGGAUCCGGCGUGCACUGGCCUUAGCGGAGAGAAUUUGCUUUGGCCGUGUUGUGCGUGUGGGUUUGCGGUGGCCCGGUUUGUUUAAAAGGCUGCCGGGAGAUGGGGCGCAGGCCGAGGACUUGCCAGAGUGCGGCGCGGGCAACGGGCAGUCUCCCUGGGAGGCUUCCUUAUCCCGAUGUCCGCCGGCAAGUACCUGAGAGCGCAGCCGUUGGGACCCGAAAGAUGGUGAACUAUGCCUGGCGAGGACGAAGCCAGAGGAAACUCUGGUGGAGGUCCGAAGCAGUUCUGACGUGCAAAUCGAUUGUCAGANCUGGGAUAGGGGCGAAAGACAAUCNACCUA